GGGCUCGUGGUCUAGCUGGUCAUGACGUCGCCUUCACACGGCGGAGGUCCUGGAUUCGAAUUCCAGCGGGCCCA
RNAcentral lists this transfer RNA (74 nucleotides) under Methanolobus psychrophilus R15. RNAcentral's name for it is "tRNA-Val (CAC) (tRNA-Val-CAC-1-1)". Lineage: Archaea; Methanobacteriati; Methanobacteriota; Methanomicrobia; Methanosarcinales; Methanosarcinaceae. The record is from RNAcentral.